GAUGAACGCUAGCGAUAGGCCUAACACAUGCAAGUCGAGGGGCAGCAUAGAGUAGCAAUACUUUGAUGGCGACCGGCGCACGGGUGAGUAACACGUAUGCAACCUACCUACAUCAGGGGAAUAACCCGGAGAAAUUCGGACUAAUACCGCAUAAUACAGGGAUGCCGCAUGGCAAUAUUUGUUAAAGAUUUAUCGGAUGUAGAUGGGCAUGCGUUCCAUUAGCUAGUUGGCGAGGUAACGGCUCGCCAAGGCAACGAUGGCUAGGGGAACUGAGAGAUUUGUCCCCCACGCUGGAACUGGGACACGGACCAGACUCCUACGGGAGGCAGCAGUGAGGAAUAUUGGUCAAUGGACGAGAGUCUGAACCAGCCAAAUCGCGUGAAGGAAGACUGCCCUACGGGUUGUAAACUUCUUUUGUACAGGAAUAAAAGACAUUACGUGUAAUGUAUUGCAUGUACUGUACGAAUAAGCAUCGGCUAACUCCGUGCCAGCCGCCGCCGUAA
Molecule: ribosomal RNA, 503 nt
Filed under: uncultured bacterium
Lineage: Bacteria
Description: partial 16S ribosomal RNA
Rfam family: Bacterial small subunit ribosomal RNA
Source: RNAcentral